This is a non-coding RNA of Monodelphis domestica (gray short-tailed opossum), 1551 nucleotides long. NCBI's taxonomy places the organism in Eukaryota, Metazoa, Chordata, Mammalia, Didelphimorphia, Didelphidae. The record is from RefSeq and is a predicted model, not a curated record.
AAUUGGGGUUAAGUAACUUGCCCAAGGUCACACAACUAGGAAGUAUCUGUGGCCAGAUUUGACCCCAGGACCUCCUAUCUCUUGUGACAGAGGCUAGCACUAGAAGAAGUAUGUAAAAUUGAUCACCUCAACGGUGGUGGGGGGUGGGGAGGCGAGGAAUUUGGACUCUUGAGGAGAAGACUCUGGGGGAGAGGGAGCAGUGAGGCUUUCAGUCAGGAGAGGUGGAUUAAAACUUUUUCCUGAGGAUUAACCACUUUUGCUGCUGGUGACUGGAACUCUUUUUCCCAACAUUUCCCAAUUGAAGGGAGUUUCUGAAGAGAAACCUGAUCAGACUUUACCUCAGCUCCUGUUGCCCAGGGGUCGCUGCUACUCCAUGAUCUGCGCUAAUACCUGAAGGAAUCGUCCAGAAGAAGAUGCCAACACAGAAGACCAGGCUGGACGUGGCCUCCAGUUCUUCCGUCUCCGCGGAGUUUUCCAGGCCCCGCUGGUGCGGGGCGGUUGCAGCUCCAGGAAAUGGGAACGUUCUGUCUAGGCGGAGCGGGGGCCCAGACCCCUGCGUCACCUCUGAUUUUCUACGGACAGAUUCUGGAAGAGAGGGUGGGGAUUGAGAAAUUGUGAGGUCUAGGAAUCAUUUUCCACCCACUCCAGGAAAAAUCACCCAAGACAAACUGGCCAGUUCAGUGAUGACAGGCGCCACAGGAUCCAGAAACUCCUCAGAGGGAUGCCCGAGUGAACGCAGGCCAGGAAUUAUUGUUCGAGUUCAAGAUGCUCCUGAGUAUUGAUAGAUCAGAGAUAAAAUGGUGUGUCUGUGCGCGCGUGCCUGUAUAUCUGAAUGCACCAGUGCAUGUGUAUUUGUCACUUCUUUCCCCCCAAAAGCCUGACCAAUCCCCCCACCUCCACCACUUCCCCUAGCAGUUCCUCAUAUUAUCUGGGAUAUUGGAGGACUAGAAUCUCCUCGAGAAAUUAUUCUUUGAAUCCUAAUUCAACUAGGACAAAAGGGCAGAUAACCCCAAGGGGCAGAGGACCGCCUUCGAGCUCGGGCAAUUUUUACAAGUGGCUUCCACCCUCCACACUAUCCCCAUCCCCAAAACACAGCACUAAAACUCAACCGAAAAGUAAUAAUAGACUCAACAUAUAUAAUCAAGGUAAUAAGCCAUCAUAAGCAUAUGCACUGACAUGCAUGUAAGAAGAAUGCUUUCCAUUCCACUUCAUUCUGACUUAAAUCCCUCCCUUUCCGUCGCUCUCUUUUUCCCCUUCUUCCCCUCCCCCAUCCUUUCCCCUCCUCUUUCCCUUUCUCUUCCUAGCUUCUUUCUUUUAAAAGUUAAUUGCAACUUUUUCCUGUGCGCUCUGAUCUGGAUAAGCCAUAUCUCAUUAGAAAAAGAUUUAGCUUGAGCCAAAGCAGACCGGAGAAGGAAUCCCUAAUCAGCACAGUAUAUAUUUUUGUAUAAUUGCUCCUUGGCAUUCUCCUCCUUGCUCCCCCUCCAGCACCCCCGUUUCUCUGUACGCCGCUUCCCCGUUUCUUUUUGCUCAUUAAACUGAAAAGAAAGUCGA